AUGGUGGUGCCGAGGGAUGCGACGGGGUCGUUCGACUACAUGCAGGUGGUACGAGAGGGGCAGUCGGUUGUCAUCGAGGAGGGCGAGGAGGAGCAGGUGGAAUCGCCUCACGCCAAACACGCGCUCCCGGGAAAGGAAAAGGAGAAACUACGACAAGUCAAGGUGAGACCCAGGCCUGAAAAGGGGAAAUCACCCUGGAGUUGGCUCAAGAACAAGAUUUUUUGUAGAGAAGGAAGGCAAAUAUGUUCGGAACAUGUCCAGCACCAGACACAACCCAUCUCUGAAGUAAGGAAUCGUUAUAUGGUUUCUUCUAAUGGGAUGAACAGUCUUGAUGGCUAUUCAGAAUUUAGACCGGUGAUUGGAGAUGGGGAGUGUUUCUACAGGAGCUUCAUAUUUUCCUACCUAGAGCAAGUUAUUGAUAGGCCGGACACAGAUGAGGAACGCCGUCUCCUUGAUGUUGUUGAAACAGCGUCUGCACGACAUGCAGAUCUUCGAUGGAACUCUAAGUUUCCCAGGACCAGCAGAGAGAUGCAUAAUUGCUUAACAGUAGUGGCAUGCCGUCACAGUUUUAGACAAUGUUGGCACAAACUCAAAUUUGAAGCUUAUUGUGAAGUUAACAACCUGAUUGUAACAACGACCUUAAGAGAAAUUUACUUGCAAAGGAAGAACCGCAAUAUAAUGGGGAAAUAA
Molecule: ribosomal RNA, 690 nt
Filed under: Triticum aestivum (bread wheat)
Lineage: Eukaryota; Viridiplantae; Streptophyta; Magnoliopsida; Poales; Poaceae
Description: partial small subunit ribosomal RNA
Source: RNAcentral